This 253-nucleotide ribosomal RNA is filed under the name uncultured bacterium. RNAcentral describes it as "partial 16S ribosomal RNA". It matches the Rfam family "Bacterial small subunit ribosomal RNA", at positions 524 to 776 of the family's 1533-position model. The record is from RNAcentral.
UACAGAGGUCUCGAGCGUUAGGCGGAAUCACUGGGCUUAAAGCGUGUGUAGGCGGAUCGUUAAGUACCUUGUGAAAUCCCACGGCUUAACCGUGGAACUGCUUGGUAUACUGGCGGUCUUGAGCCAGCUAGGGGCUACCGGAACAAAUGGUGGAGCGGUGAAAUGCGUAGAUAUCUGCAGGAACACCCGUGGCGAAAGCGGCGCGCUGGACCACUACUGACGCUGAGGAACGAAAGCUAGGGGAGCAAACAGG